UGGCGGCGUGCUUAUACAUGCAAGUCGAACGAGAAGGCUUCCUUCGGGAGGUGAGUAGAGUGGCGAACGGGUGAGUAACGCGUAGGUAAUCUAUCCUUGAGUUCGAGAUAACCCCGGGAAACUGGGGCUAAUACCGGAUGAAGCAGAGAUGUUAAAGGGGGGCAACUUCCGCUUGAGGUUGAGCCUGCGUCCUAUCAGCUGGUUGGUGGUGUAACGGACUACCAAGGCGACGACGGGUAGCUGGUCUUAGAGGAUGAUCAGUCACACUGGCACUGAGACACGGGCCAGACUCCUACGGGAGGCAGCAGUAGGGAAUAUUGCGCAAUGGGGGAAACCCUGACGCAGCGACGCCGCGUGAGUGAUGACGGCCCUAUGGGUUGUAAAGCUCUGUAAGGAGGGAAGAACCGGUUGGUGUAACGGCCAGCUCUGACGGUACCUCCAAAGUAAGGACCGGCUAAAUACGUGCCAGCAGCCGCGGUAAUACGUAUGGUCCGAACGUUGUCCGGAAUGACUGGGCGUAAAGGGUGCGUAGGCGGCAAUACCAGUCAGGUGUGAAAUCCCCGGGCUCAACCUGGGAAC
Molecule: ribosomal RNA, 579 nt
Filed under: uncultured organism
Description: bacterial SSU rRNA
Rfam family: Bacterial small subunit ribosomal RNA
Source: RNAcentral